AUUGAACGCUGGCGGCAGGCCUAACACAUGCAAGUCGAACGGUAACAGGAAGCAGCUUGCUGCUUCGCUGACGAGUGGCGGACGGGUGAGUAAUGUCUGGGAAGCUGCCUGAUGGAGGGGGAUAACUACUGGAAACGGUAGCUAAUACCGCAUAAUGUCGCAAGACCAAAGAGGGGGACCUUCGGGCCUCUUGCCAUCGGAUGUGCCCAGAUGGGAUUAGCUUGUUGGUGGGGUAACGGCUCACCAAGGCGACGAUCCCUAGCUGGUCUGAGAGGAUGACCAGCCACACUGGAACUGAGACACGGUCCAGACUCCUACGGGAGGCAGCAGUGGGGAAUAUUGCACAAUGGGCGCAAGCCUGAUGCAGCCAUGCCGCGUGUAUGAAGAAGGCCUUCGGGUUGUAAAGUACUUUCAGCGGGGAGGAAGGGAGUAAAGUUAAUACCUUUGCUCGUUGACGUUACCCGCAGAAGAAGCACCGGCUAACUCCGUG
Molecule: ribosomal RNA, 490 nt
Filed under: uncultured bacterium
Lineage: Bacteria
Description: partial 16S ribosomal RNA
Rfam family: Bacterial small subunit ribosomal RNA
Source: RNAcentral